GCGCGAGUGGCGGAAUUGGCAGACGCGCUGGAUUUAGGUUCCAGUGUCUUUAGACGUGGGGGUUCAAGUCCCCCCUCGCGCA
Molecule: transfer RNA, 82 nt
Filed under: Actinomycetaceae bacterium
Lineage: Bacteria; Bacillati; Actinomycetota; Actinomycetes; Actinomycetales; Actinomycetaceae
Description: tRNA-Leu
Rfam family: tRNA
About the family: Transfer RNA (tRNA) molecules are approximately 80 nucleotides in length. Their secondary structure includes four short double-helical elements and three loops (D, anti-codon, and T loops).
Source: RNAcentral